GACGAACGCUGGCGGCGUGCUUAACACAUGCAAGUCGAACGGACAGGCCCUGAUUGCGGUGUCCUCGCGUGGCGGACGGGCGGGUAAGACGCGGGUGGUCUGCCCUGCUCUUAGAGUUAGGCCUGGUCGACUGGGUCUAGUACCGAAUAGGAGAUAUUUUUAGUGUGAUGGUUGGAUAGUUUUUUCGGUCUUGGAUGAGAUCGCGACCUAUCUGCUCGCUGGGGGGGUUAUGUCCUACCGACGCGGCGUGGGGUGGCCGGCCUGAGUGGGUGGACGGCCACAUUGGGACUGAGAGACGGCCCAGACACCGACUGGAGGCAGCAGGGGGGAAGAUUGCACAAGGGGCGCAAGGCGGAUGCAGCGACGCCGCGUGUGGGAUGACUGCCUUCGUGGUGUAAACCAAUUUCGCUAGGGACGAAGCACUUUUUGACGGUACCUAGUUAAGAAGCCCCGGCUAACUACGUG
RNAcentral lists this ribosomal RNA (465 nucleotides) under uncultured bacterium. RNAcentral's name for it is "partial 16S ribosomal RNA". It matches the Rfam family "Bacterial small subunit ribosomal RNA", at positions 28 to 507 of the family's 1533-position model. The record is from RNAcentral.